RNAcentral lists this long non-coding RNA (1785 nucleotides) under Triticum aestivum (bread wheat). Its description in RNAcentral is "long non-coding RNA (TAES_LNC028334)". The record is from RNAcentral. Lineage: Eukaryota; Viridiplantae; Streptophyta; Magnoliopsida; Poales; Poaceae.
UUUAAUCUGCACAGAAUAAAAAGGUAGGUCUUAUUAUUUUGUUUUGUCUUUGGGAAAGGGUUGCCAUCUACCUCUUGCUAGGAGCAAUGGAUUUAUAUCUAAAAAAAUUGAGAUACCUUGAAUGAAAGGUAUAUAUUUGUCCUCCGCAAAAAAUGUAUAUAUUUGAAAUAUAAAAAUUUAUUGCUCUAAAUCACAAAAGAGGAGCAGUUGCCUCCAAUUUAGCGCGCAAGUGGUGGAAUAAAAUUGCAGAGGAGAAAAACAUAACACGGUUACACAUAUUAUGCCCCAAAUGUUGAGCUUCAUGCCUGCCGGUUGGAAUCUCUUGCCCUUAAACUGCAGCCACAUAAUGACCUACUGAUUCAAAAUCAAAGAGAAUGAAAAAAUAUGAUGCAUUAGAUGGAAAAAGUAAACUAACCAAGAUAAUAGUGAAUCCUGUAAUGCAAAUAAGAUGCUGAAAGUUCCCCGCAAAAAAAAAGAUGCUGAAAGGAAUAAUAUGCUUAGAAGUGAGAUGGAAGAGAAACCCCGUGGUUUAUACCUCAGUGGUCACAAUUGUCGCAAUGUAUAGCCAGUGUUUCAGCCCGUGGUGGCCGAUGCAGGCGCGUGGUGGUGAACGACGGACCUCACGCUACGUCUCCCGUCCGUCACCGUUGUGGGCCUCCGAUGGAUGAUAUUCUCCAGGAAAAUGAUGAUCCCGCUGAUUGCGUCUUCCAAGGAGGAGGACAUGGAGGUAUUGCUGCGCAAGAUGAACCGCCGGAUCAACUUGCGGUGCCCGUUGAGCAGAACUCACGGCUCACGGGCGGCCAUGAGAGCAGCCAUGUAUGCCAUCGGCAAGACCGCAAGAUCAUCGUGAAGACGGUCGUCCAAGACACAGAGUAACCGCAUAAGAGAAUAAAUAGGCAGGCCACUACUCAUUUGCAGCCCAAUGGUCACCUUUCUCGCCUUUUGCUCAUGUGAUGGCCACGCACUCUUCUAAACUGCAUAAUAAUCAUCCGGCCACACUGAUAGAGAUGACUAUCUGAGCGUAACAAAAAAGAGAAAUACAUGAUGAUAUAUGUAUAUAUAAGCCAGCGAACAUAAUUCCAUGCGUGUAUAUAUAUCUGGAAAUCAAUUGACUUCCCUCUGCACACUUGGUUGAAAUGCUGCAGUAUUUACCGUUAACAAACGACCAUGUGCAAGAAAAAUAGAUACCUCGAGCUAAAUGAGAUCUCCAGGAAUAAAAAUAGCCACUCCAAGUCUAAAUCAGACCCACAAGAAUUUAUGAACUGCAUGUUUUAACUCAAUAAAGUUAGGAUUCAGAUUUGCAGGUGCAUUUGUUAGCUUAAUCAGAAAUAAUGUCCGGAUUUGGGUGCAAGGUUUCACUUGGGAAUUCAGAGUUAGACGUGAAGAGAAUGCAACAAAUUUUAUCUACGUGGUUACAUAAAAGUGUAUGUAUUCAUGCAUGUAUGAACAACCUCAUGAGACAUGACAUAUAUAAUCAUCUGCAGUUUUUUGUGUUGGUGAAGCAUCAAGAAAUUAGUGGACGAUUGGAAUUUGGGGAGAAUCUGGACUAACCUGAUACAUGAGAGAAUUAGAAUAGACAAUGGCAGACAGCGAUAGUUCCUGAUUCGUCCCAUCCUACGCUAUCAGCAGGCGGCCUGUGGUGUAGUUUACGAAUCAGAACUUAAGUUGGAGUUUGAGAUAGAUGUAAUCUGGACUACAAUGAAGGUGGGGAAACUGAAAGGGAUGGCUCACCGAUGGCGAUUGAGAUUCGAUCAAGGCAUAGGGACAGAGGAGGGCCAAGGGAAA